Molecule: ribosomal RNA, 253 nt
Filed under: uncultured bacterium
Lineage: Bacteria
Description: partial 16S ribosomal RNA
Rfam family: Bacterial small subunit ribosomal RNA
Source: RNAcentral
UACGGGGGGGGUAAGCGUUGUUCGGAAUUACUGGGCGUAAAGGGCUCGUAGGCGGCCAACUAAGUCUGAUGUGAAAGCCCUCGGCUCAACCGAGGAGGGUCAUUGGAAACUGGAGGACUUGAGUGCAGAAGAGGAAAGUGGAAUUCCAAGUGUAGCGGUGAAAUGCGUAGAGAUUUGGAGGAACACCAGUGGCGAAGGCGACUUUCUGGUCUGUAACUGACGCUGAGGCGCGAAAGCGUGGGGAGCAAACAGG